GAGAUUGACCAUAGUUCCCCAUGCCAUAAAU
This 31-nucleotide non-coding RNA is filed under the name Rattus norvegicus (Norway rat). Lineage: Eukaryota; Metazoa; Chordata; Mammalia; Rodentia; Muridae. The record is from RNAcentral.